GACGAACCGUGCGAACGUUAUUCGGAAUCACUGGGCUUAAAGCGCGUGUAGGCGGGCCGGCACGUCGGUCGUUGAAAUCCCCCGGCUCAACCGGGGAAGCGGCGCCGAUACGACCGGCCUCGAGGGACGUAGGGGGGGCUGGAACUUCCGGUGGAGCGGUGAAAUGCGUUGAGAUCGGAAGGAACGCCCGUGGCGAAAGCGAGCCCCUGGACGUCUACUGACGCUGAGACGCGAAAGCGUGGGGAGCAAACAGG
This 254-nucleotide ribosomal RNA is filed under the name uncultured bacterium. RNAcentral describes it as "partial 16S ribosomal RNA". It matches the Rfam family "Bacterial small subunit ribosomal RNA", at positions 524 to 776 of the family's 1533-position model. The record is from RNAcentral.